UGGGGAAUAUUGGACUAUGGGCGAAAGCCUGAUCCAGCCAUGCUGCGUGUGUGAAGAAGGUCUUCGGAUUGUAAAGCACUCUAAGUUGGGAGGAAGGGCAGUAAGCGAAUACCUUGCUGUUUUGACGUUACCGACAGAAUAAGCACCGGCUAACUCUGUGCCAGCAGCCGCGGUAAUACAGAGGGUGCAUGCGUUAAUCGGAAUUACUGGGCGUAAAGCGCGCGUAGGUGGUUCGUUAAGUUGAAUGUGAAAGCCCCGGGCUCCACCUGGGAACUGCAUCCAAAACUGGCGAGCUAGAGUAGGGCAGAGGGUAGUGGAAUUUCCUGUGUAGCGGUGAGAUGCGUAGAUAUAGGAAGGAACACCAGUGACGAAGGCGACCACCUGGGCUAAUACUGACACUGAGAUGCGAAAGCGUGGGGAGCAAAGAGG
This 429-nucleotide ribosomal RNA is filed under the name Pseudomonadota bacterium. RNAcentral's name for it is "Proteobacteria bacterium partial 16S ribosomal RNA". It matches the Rfam family "Bacterial small subunit ribosomal RNA", at positions 355 to 776 of the family's 1533-position model. Lineage: Bacteria; Pseudomonadati; Pseudomonadota. The record is from RNAcentral.